Molecule: ribosomal RNA, 342 nt
Filed under: uncultured bacterium
Lineage: Bacteria
Description: bacterial SSU rRNA
Rfam family: Bacterial small subunit ribosomal RNA
Source: RNAcentral
GACGAACGCUGGCGGCGUGCUUAACACAUGCAAGUCGAGCGGUAAGGCCCUUCGGGGUACACGAGCGGCGAACGGGUGAGUAACACGUGGGUGACCUGCCUCUAGCUCUGGGAUAAGCCUGGGAAACUGGGUCUAAUACCGGAUAUGACUCCACGGCGCAUGUUGUGGGGUGGAAAGCCUUGUGUGGCUAGAGAUGGGCCCGCGGCCUAUCAGCUUGUUGGUGGGGUGAUGGCCACCAAGGCGACGACGGGUAGCCGGCCUGAGAGGGCGACCGGCCACACUGGGGACUGAGACACGGCCCAGACUCCUACGGGAGGCAGCAGGUGGGGAAUCUUGCGCAAU